AAUAGAUACCCAGGUAGUCCACGCCGUAAACGAUGAGUGCUAAGUGUUAGGGGGUUUCCACCCCUUAGUGCUGCAGCUAACGCAUUAAGCACUCCGCCUGGGGAGUACGGUCGCAAGACUGAAACUCAAAGGAAUUGACGGGGGCCCGCACAAGCGGUGGAGCAUGUGGUUUAAUUCGAAGCAACGCGAAGAACCUUACCAGGUCUUGACAUCCCGCUGACCGCUGUGGAGACAUAGCCUUCCCUUCGGGGACAGCGGUGACAGGUGGUGCAUGGUUGUCGUCAGCUCGUGUCGUGAGAUGUUGGGUUAAGUCCCGCAACGAGCGUAACCCUUGUCCUUAGUUGCCAUCAUUCAGUUGGGCACUCUAAGGAGACUGCCGUACAAAUACGGAGGAAGGUGGGGAUGACGUCAAAUCAUCAUGCCCCUUAUGACCUGGGCUACACACGUGCUACAAUGGACGGUACAAACGGUCGCGAAGUCGCGAGACGGAGCCAAUCCGAAAAAACCGUUCUCAGUUCGGAUUGCAGGCUGC
Molecule: ribosomal RNA, 532 nt
Filed under: uncultured bacterium
Lineage: Bacteria
Description: bacterial SSU rRNA
Rfam family: Bacterial small subunit ribosomal RNA
Source: RNAcentral